Molecule: ribosomal RNA, 480 nt
Filed under: uncultured bacterium
Lineage: Bacteria
Description: bacterial SSU rRNA
Rfam family: Bacterial small subunit ribosomal RNA
Source: RNAcentral
AUUGAACGCUGGCGGCAUGCCUUACACAUGCAAGUCGAACGGUAACAGGGAGCUUGCUCCGCUGACGAGUGGCGAACGGGUGAGUAAUGUAUCGGAACGUACCAUUCAGUGGGGGAUAACGUAGCGAAAGUUACGCUAAUACCGCAUAUUCUGUGAGCAGGAAAGCAGGGGAUCGCAAGACCUUGCGCUGAUUGAGCGGCCGAUAUCAGAUUAGCUAGUUGGUGAGGUAAAGGCUCACCAAGGCGACGAUCUGUAGCGGGUCUGAGAGGGAUGAUCCGCCACACUGGAACUGAGACACGGCCCAGACUCCUACGGGAGGCAGCAGUGGGGAAUUUUGGACAAUGGGCGCAAGCCUGAUCCAGCCAUGCCGCGUGCAGGAUGAAGGCCUUCGGGUUGUAACUGCUUUGUUACGGAACGAAAGAACUCUUCUAUAAAAGGUCAUGAGGUACCGUAAGAUAAGCACCGGCUACUACGUAGCCG